Molecule: ribosomal RNA, 236 nt
Filed under: uncultured bacterium
Lineage: Bacteria
Description: partial 16S ribosomal RNA
Rfam family: Bacterial small subunit ribosomal RNA
Source: RNAcentral
CGGGACGGGUGAGUAACGCGUGGGUAACCUGCCCUGUACAGGGGGAUAACAGUCAGAAAUGACUGCUAAUACCGCAUAAGACCACAGCACCGCAUGGUGCAGGGGUAAAAACUCCGGUGGUACAGGAUGGACCCGCGUCUGAUUAGCUGGUUGGUGAGGUAACGGCUCACCAAGGCGACGAUCAGUAGCCGGCUUGAGAGAGUGGACGGCCACAUUGGGACUGAGACACGGCCCAA